AUUGAUACCGAUCGCCCAACAUCACAAGACAUCCCCGUCUCUCAGCGUGGACUCCCCCUAUCUGAUUUCACCUUCGGAUUUCCAUGACCUGGGGCUUCAAAUACAAACCACAUAGGAGGCAAGAGUGUUUCAGAGGCAGAGGCCAAAUCCAGCACCUGGAAUUGCUGGCGGGCAGGAGAUUUCAGAGCACUGCAGAAAGAGUUACAGGAGAGCCAGAGCUCAGGAAAACCCCAUGGCUCUUUUUCCUGAGACAAAGAUAAGGAUAUUGAUUGGAGAUAGGUGAAAUGACAAUCAACAGCAGAGGAGCUUUGGACAUCUAACUGGGAUUUCCUGUUCCUCUGGCGUAAGUGCAUGAUGCUCGUUUAAAGACAACGAAUGGAGUGAAAACAAAUCGUGAGCAUGAAGGCUUUGACCCUGAUCCUUGCCAAAAUUCAAGUAUUUCUUCUCCUCUUUCUGGUCUGGAAAUAACAGGAAUUUCCCUCCAGAAACUUUAAAGUGAACAGAUAUUAAGAACCAUCUCCCAGGAAAUUGGGAUUAAGUUCUGAACCAUUGCUAAACUGAGAGCAGAGCUGUGGUCUGUCACUGGUGAAUACCUAGUCAAUUCGAUCUUUUUUCACAGUUAGUUGGAGGGUCAUCUGGAUGGAUCAACUCAACUCCACAGGAAGAAAAUGUCAGCCAAAGACUUCUCAAAAUCUGGAAGAGUGGACUACUACGGGCAGGCAGUGGUGCUGUCAGGGGAGGAUGCUGUUAACAAGACUGAUCAAAACUCUUUUCCCCAGGGUCUCAUAGGCAUGAUUAUUUGGGCUGGAAUGGCCGAGCCUUCCCAGAAUGGACUGCAGAGAGAUAAUGCCAUUCCAUGAGCUAAGUGCAUCCUAAAGACAAGAGUCAAAAGUAAUUGAGUCAGUGACAGGCUCCAGCACCUAAACAAUGUAUACUCAUUAGAUGGGAUUCAGAAGACCUCAGACAUGAGCUCAGAGAGCCUUUACUCCAACCUCUCUCAGAAUUCCUAAUGUUCCCAGACACCCUCAGCACUUCUGUAGUUCCCUCCAGUAUUUCUUUCUAUUCCUCCCCAUCUUUUCACUUCUGUUCCUUUCUCCCCCUUUUGCAUUCAGAGAAAGGUCUUUUCUCUUCAAAGCCUUCAUGUCUUCUCAUCUGUCCUGAGUUAAUUCUCCAGCUUCUUUGGUUGACUAUUCUCUUCUGCACCUCCUCCAUGAGCAGUCAGGAAUACACUGCUCCUUUAAAACUAGGCAAAAACAGUACAGAGGAGAGAGCAGAAGAGAUGUAUAUGGUUUGCCUUACUUUGCAGGUAAAGUUCCUAGAGCACAGUGGGCACCUUCUCAGGGAGUUGAAACUAUCAGCUACAGACUCGUCAAACCUCAAAAUCAGGAUGAGAGGAAAUGAGAGCUGAGUUCUUUGGACAGGCAAAGUUACCUUUCCUCACGAUUUCUGCUUUUGUGGGAUGACAGCCUUUUGGAAGAUCUCAUUUCAGGCAGACAUAAAUAAGAGGGAAGAAAAUCCCAAAUCUCACAAGUUUGAUGAGCCCAACAAAAAGCCCAGGUUGGAGGGUUAUUUUGUUAGGCUUUACACAGGAGAGUAGCAAAAGACAGGUGGCCAUACAGUAAUUUACAUGGGGGGCGAGUGGGGAGGAAGGAGAGGGAGAAAGGUUUGCUUUAUAUAUUUAAAUAUUUAUAAGUUGUUUGCUUUAUGAGGAAGGACUGAGGAAUAAUCCUGCCUUUGUUCUUAAAAAGUGUGAUCAGCAUUUCCUUCCUAAAGAGAGGUGAUAAGCAACUGGGCAUUCUUUUAACAAAGGCUGCAGAAGCCCAUUGAAAGCUUCAUGCCUUAAAGGGGGGGUCUCUUUUCUGAGGAAGAGCGGGACAUCAGGUCUUUAAUAUUGAUAAGGAAAAGUACAUAAAAGGAAUCAUCUAAUAGCACCGACUUGAAAUAAGGAAUUUCAGAAAACUUGCAGUAAAUGUUUCAGCAAACUCUGGAACAGGUGGUGCGAUCUGCAUGGCAGUCUGAGCCAGUGAAAACACAAGUCAUCCAGCAACAAAGUCGCUGAAGCAUGGUUCAAGAAGACAUAAAUAAAACACUUUCACAGGAAAAAGGGAAACCCCUUCCAAAACGCCUGUUACAAACAUGGGGGUUUCCUGGGCAGAACCCCAGCAA
This is a long non-coding RNA of Strigops habroptila (Kakapo), 2166 nucleotides long. Lineage: Eukaryota; Metazoa; Chordata; Aves; Psittaciformes; Psittacidae. The record is from Ensembl.